CCUACGGGAGGCAGCAGUGGGGAAUAUUGCACAAUGGGGGAAACCCUGAUGCAGCGACGCCGCGUGAGUGAAGAAGUAUUUCGGUAUGUAAAGCUCUAUCAGCAGGGAAGAAAAUGACGGUACCUGAUUAAGAAGCCCCGGCUAACUACGUGCCAGCAGCCGCGGUAAUACGUAGGGGGCAAGCGUUAUCCGGAUGUACUGGGUGUAAAGGGGGCGUAGACGGCAGCACAAGUCUGGAGUGAAAUGCCGGGGCUUAACCCCGGAACUGCUUUGGAAACUGUGCAGCUAGAGUGCAGGAGAGGUAAGUGGAAUGCCUAGUGUAGCGGUGAAAUGCGUAGAUAUUAGGAGGAACACCAGUGGCGAAGGCGGCUUACUGGACUGUAACUGACGUUGAGGCUCGAAAGCGUGGGGAGCAAACAGGAUUAGAUACCCCUGUAGUC
Molecule: ribosomal RNA, 440 nt
Filed under: uncultured bacterium
Lineage: Bacteria
Description: partial 16S ribosomal RNA
Rfam family: Bacterial small subunit ribosomal RNA
Source: RNAcentral